This 92-nucleotide small nucleolar RNA is filed under the name Hanseniaspora uvarum. Lineage: Eukaryota; Fungi; Ascomycota; Saccharomycetes; Saccharomycodales; Saccharomycodaceae. The record is from RNAcentral.
UUAACUGAUGAUAACCUUUUACAACAACAAUGAAUUUCUUCAACCAGAAAAAACCAUGUGGAUAAAAAUUUGACAGCUUUUUAACCCUGAAA